RNAcentral lists this ribosomal RNA (308 nucleotides) under uncultured bacterium. Its description in RNAcentral is "partial 16S ribosomal RNA". It matches the Rfam family "Bacterial small subunit ribosomal RNA", at positions 505 to 807 of the family's 1533-position model. The record is from RNAcentral.
GAGACAGCAGUAGCCGCGGGAAUACGUAGGUGGCAAGCGUUGUCCGGAAUUAUUGGGCGUAAAGGGUGCGUAGGCGGUUUGAUAAGUCUGAUGUGAAAUCUAUGGGCUCAACCCAUAGUCUGCAUCGGAAACUGUCAGGCUUGAGAGUGGGAGAGGUGAGUGGAAUUUCCGGUGUAGCGGUGAAAUGCGUAGAUAUCGGAAGGAACACCUGUGGCGAAAGCGGCUCACUGGACCAUUUCUGACGCUGAUGCACGAAAGCUAGGGGAGCAAACAGGAUUAGAUACCCCAGUAGUCCCUGUCUCUUAUAC